AAAGGGAGACCUAAUUCGGGUAGGAGACGAAAAAAAAGUAGUCGCUACCAAGAAUCAAUCCCAAAAGGUCGGAGCGAGGCGAAAUUGGCUUUCAAACUAGGUUCUGGGUUCACACAAGACCUGAAUCAGGAACAAGGGCUAUUAGCUCAGGUGGUUAGAGCGCACCCCUGAUAAGGGUGAGGUCCCUGGCUCGAGUCCAGGAUGGCCCACCUGCACAGGUGGCAAAAACAAGAGAAGCGAGGAAUCAGCACCUUAUCUUAUAUACAUAUAUAAGAGAGAAUGCUGGCUCUGAGUACAGAGUCCAGAGGAACCUUGAAAACUGCAUAGAGCUAGGUGAAAAAGCCAAAAAAGAAGACCGCAAG
Molecule: transfer RNA, 362 nt
Filed under: uncultured Microcystis sp.
Lineage: Bacteria; Bacillati; Cyanobacteriota; Cyanophyceae; Chroococcales; Microcystaceae
Description: partial 16S-23S ribosomal RNA intergenic spacer
Rfam family: tRNA (bases 136-209)
Source: RNAcentral